GACGAACGCUGGCGGCGUGCUUAACACAUGCAAGUCGAGCGGUAAGGCCCUUUCGGGGUACGACGAGCGGCGAACGGUGAGUAACACGUGGUGACCUGCCCUCAGCUCUGGGAUAAGCCUGGGAAACCGGGUCUAAUACUGGAUAUGACUCCAUGACGCAUGUUGUGGGGUGGAAAGCCUUGUGCGGCUGAGGAUGGGCCCGCGGCCUAUCAGCUUGUUGGUGGGGUGANGGCCUACCAAGGCGACGACGGGUAGCCGGCCUGAGAGGGCGACCGGCACACUGGGACUGAGACACGGCCCAGACUCCUACGGGAGGCAGCAGUGGGGAAUCUUGCGCAAUGGGCGAAAGCCUGACGCAGCGACGCCGCGUGAGGGAUGACGCC
Molecule: ribosomal RNA, 383 nt
Filed under: uncultured bacterium
Lineage: Bacteria
Description: bacterial SSU rRNA
Rfam family: Bacterial small subunit ribosomal RNA
Source: RNAcentral